Molecule: long non-coding RNA, 204 nt
Organism: Anoplophora glabripennis (Asian longhorned beetle)
Lineage: Eukaryota; Metazoa; Arthropoda; Insecta; Coleoptera; Cerambycidae
Exons: 2
Source: RefSeq, a predicted model, not a curated record
GUAGCGCUAGCUAAAUGGGAAGGAAUAUUAAACACAACGAAAAAUGAAAAAAUUUGUUACCAAGGUGGAGACGUCUACAUACCGAUUCCCGAAUUAAACCCAACGGAAGACUGUUUGUACUUGAAUGUUUACACUCCUCUGAAACCUGGAGAUACUUCACAAACCCCAUUACCGGUGUUAAUAUGGAUACACGGAGGUGGAUUU